Molecule: ribosomal RNA, 842 nt
Filed under: uncultured bacterium
Lineage: Bacteria
Description: bacterial SSU rRNA
Rfam family: Bacterial small subunit ribosomal RNA
Source: RNAcentral
GCAGUCGAGCGCGCCUUUCGGGGUGAGCGGCGGACGGGUUAGUAACGCGUGGGAAUAUACCCUUUUCUACGGAAUAGCCUCUGGAAACGGAGAGUAAUACCGUAUGAGCCCUUCGGGGGAAAGAUUUAUCGGGAAAGGAUUAGCCCGCGUUAGAUUAGGUAGUUGGUGGGGUAAUGGCCUACCAAGCCUACGAUCUAUAGCUGGUUUUAGAGGAUGAUCAGCAACACUGGGACUGAGACACGGCCCAGACUCCUACGGGAGGCAGCAGUGGGGAAUCUUGGACAAUGGGGGCAACCCUGAUCCAGCCAUGCCGCGUGAGUGAUGAAGGCCUUAGGGUCGUAAAGCUCUUUCGCCUGUGAAGAUAAUGACGGUAGCAGGUAAAGAAACCCCGGCUAACUCCGUGCCAGCAGCCGCGGUAAUACGGAGGGGGUUAGCGUUGUUCGGAAUUACUGGGCGUAAAGCGCACGUAGGCGGACCAGAAAGUUGGGGGUGAAAUCCCGGGGCUCAACCCCGGAACUGCCUCCAAAACUAUUGGUCUAGAGUUCGAGAGAGGUGAGUGGAAUUCCAAGUGUAGAGGUGAAAUUCGUAGAUAUUUGGAGGAACACCAGUGGCGAAGGCGGCUCACUGGCUCGAUACUGACGCUGANGUGCGAAAGUGUGGGGAGCAAACAGGAUUAGAUACCCUGGUAGUCCACACCGUAAACNAUGAAUGCCAGUCGUCGGGUAGCAUGCUAUUCGGCGACACACCUAACGGAUUAAGCAUUCCGCCUGGGGAGUACNGNCGCAAGAUUAAAAUUCAAAGGAAUUGACGGGGGCCCGCACAAGCGGNGGAGCAUGUGGUUU